Molecule: long non-coding RNA, 1375 nt
Filed under: Drosophila guanche
Lineage: Eukaryota; Metazoa; Arthropoda; Insecta; Diptera; Drosophilidae
Source: RNAcentral
AACAGGAGAGACAGGGAGAGUGUGCUACAGUUAAUAAUAAGCUCAUUAAUCAUGGGACACACACCCCACAGCAAACAGCAGAACCCGUAGAAGAACUGCGUCUGCGAUUGGGUUCGGCAUUGAGUGACUGAGAAGAGCAAUCAUCAUCCAGAUAGAGACAGAGAGAGAGUGAAUCUGUCAGUCCGUUCGUUCUGCUGUCACUCACUUUUCUGCAGCUCAAUCGUGUGCUAGAGUGAGGGCGCGGCGUGGCAGGGCGUAUCCCUUUGCAACAAUUUUGAUCAUUAAUUAGGUGGCAUUUACUGCGAGUCAACUGUGUACCCUGCCGGAUUGAAAUUGUAUGCCAGUGUGUAUGCCUGUGCCAUGCCGGAUUGCAGCCAUCAUUAAUCUCGUUUGAAAGCGAACAAAUUGAAGUAGAAAGAGCACAGAGGAGCACUGGGAGCGACCAUUUUCACUUCCGACACGGUCUCGUGCGGGCCUCGGAAAUAAAUCUAAUAAACUUCAGUUUACCGGCAUUUCCUUUUGGAGCAUUGGUUUUUAUGAGUUGUUAUAGAAUUUUGUACAAUUUCCACAUUUUUCAAUAUUUGUCUAAGCAGGCAGGCCAACAGCAAUACACGUAGCUGGAAGACGGCAGAGGUAGACGGUGCACCAAACAUCAUCAUCACCAGAGGCAACAUCAGUGGGAACGGCAUCAGAGGUACUUAGCGGCAGAAGCAGAAUCAACGGCAUCGUCAUAAUCGUCGUCGUCGUCGUCGUCGUCUCGUUGUCGGUUCCAUGACUCGAGUCAUUUAUAACAAGAAAGAAAAGAUAGUUCAGCGAAUGGUUUGGCACCCUAGAAAGCUGAGGGUUUAUAUUACUUCUGAUAUCAUGGACAGAAAACUUAUUGACUGGUAAUAUUUAUGCCAUGCAUGAAUUAGAUUUAGGCAGCUACUGAAGUAAGAUAUUAUUAUUCAGUAAUUUAGAUUUAAAUUUUAGAUAUAAAUUUGAAGUAUUUGAAAUGUUUAUUAUAUAAUUUAAUAACAAAUAUUUGAAUUGUAAUAUUUUGGCAAAUUCCCUUCAGACUUUUUGGUUAAGAAGAUCUGUUUAAAUGACCUCUCGUAGCUUUGAGAGCUAUGAGGUAUUCCGAAGGAAUACCAAAACCCAAGCCUAAAUCUAUUAUUCAGUUCAAAUGUAUCAAGAACACAAUUAUAUACUUUAUAAUAUAUUAUAUCUAUUUCAAGACUUCUGCAUAUUCCCAACUUCUGCCACAAUUAAACUGCACUCAGGACUACAUCUAGAUGUAGAAGACAUCGCCAACCACUAGAUAUCGUUCACAUUACAGAACACGUAGUAAAAAGCCUACUAAAUAAAAUUCAUCAAAAAAAUUGGAUCAGUUAAU